GCGAAACCUUUACACUGCACGCCAGUGCGAUAAGGGGAUCCCAAGUGCGCAGGCAUAGAGCCUGCGCUUUUGUACACCGUAGGGAGGUGUACGAAUAAGGGCUGGGCAAGACCGGUGCCAGCCGCCGCGGUAAUACCGGCAGCCCGAGUGAUGGCCGAUCUUAUUGGGCCUAAAGCGUCCGUAGCUGGCCGCGCAAGUCCAUCGGAAAAUCCGCCCGCUCAACGGGUGGGCGUCCGGUGGAAACUGCGUGGCUUGGGACCGGAAGGCGCGACGGGUACGUCCGGGGUAGGAGUGAAAUCCCGUAAUCCUGGACGGACCGCCGAUGGCGAAAGCACGUCGCGAGGACGGAUCCGACAGUGAGGGACGAAAGCCAGGGUCUCGAACCGGAUUAGAUACCCGGGUAGUCCUGGCCGUAAACAAUGUCUGUUAGGUGUGGCUCCCACUACGAGUGGGUGCUGUGCCGUAGGGAAGCCGCUAAACAGACCGCCUGGGAAGUACGUCCGCAAGGAUGAAACUUAAAGGAAUUGGCGGGGGAGCACUACAACCGGAGGAGCCUGCGGUUUAAUUGGAAUCA
Molecule: ribosomal RNA, 574 nt
Filed under: uncultured haloarchaeon
Lineage: Archaea; Methanobacteriati; Methanobacteriota; Halobacteria; Halobacteriales; Halobacteriaceae
Description: bacterial SSU rRNA
Rfam family: Archaeal small subunit ribosomal RNA
Source: RNAcentral